AAACCUGCCUCAUAGACUGGGACAACUAUUGAAACGAUAGCUAAUACCGGAUAACAGCAUUAACUGCAUGGUUGAUGUUUAAAAGUUGGUUUUGCUAACACUAUGAGAUGGCUUUGCGGUGCAUUAGCUAGUUGGUGGGGUAAAGGCCUACCAAGGCGACGAUGCAUAGCCGACCUGAGAGGGUGAUCGGCCACACUGGGACUGAGACACGGCCCAG
Molecule: ribosomal RNA, 217 nt
Filed under: uncultured bacterium
Lineage: Bacteria
Description: partial 16S ribosomal RNA
Rfam family: Bacterial small subunit ribosomal RNA
Source: RNAcentral